Long non-coding RNA from Exaiptasia diaphana, 103 nucleotides. RefSeq lists it as uncharacterized. The transcript has 2 exons. The record is from RefSeq and is a predicted model, not a curated record. NCBI's taxonomy places the organism in Eukaryota, Metazoa, Cnidaria, Anthozoa, Actiniaria, Aiptasiidae.
AGCGACACUUCAAACUAUGUCCAUCAAUAUUACCCAUUUUCUAAACUGUUUCUUGUCCUCCAAUCGAAAUCCACAGCCACUGCUUCCAUCUGAGGUAAGUAUU